UUUUUACUCCCUCCGUCCCAAAUUACUUGUCACAGGAAUUGAUGUAUCUAGACGUAGUCUUAGUUCUAGAUACAUCCAUUUUUAUCCAUUUCCGCGACAAGUAAUUCGGAAUGGAGGCAGUAUUAG
This is a non-coding RNA of Triticum aestivum (bread wheat), 126 nucleotides long. The record is from Rfam. Lineage: Eukaryota; Viridiplantae; Streptophyta; Magnoliopsida; Poales; Poaceae.